UGCAUUCAGCGGAAUGCUUGGUCGACGUUUUUUCGCCGCUUGGCUGUCGCCCUUCGCGGGGUUAUGGUCGGCGCGCGGGACGACAUCGGUUCGGCCUUGCUGCCCCGUGCAUUUGCAAGUGGAGUGCGCCGAGGCGCGCUGAUCAGUGGCUGGAGGAAUAUGCUUUGAGGUUAUUCGCUUUCGGGCGGGUAAACCCCGAGUUGUUGUUUUUAUUUUUUUAAGGCUAUUUGAUUGGCGUGAGGUGUCGUUUUUUUUAGCCAACGUGGAGUUAAACACGGACCAUCGCCGAAGCGGCCCUAAUGUCUUAUGGCGGUCGCAUGCGACACGUAUUCGUUCAUUGAGCUUUUUUGGCGGCGGUUCACACGGUUUUGGUGAACCUCGGCGUAAAAGUCGGUCAUCUAUUCGACCCGUCUUGAAACACGGACCAAGGAGUUUAGCGUUUGCGCGAGUCAUUAAGUGUUAAAAACUUAUUAGGCGCAAUUAAAGUGAUUAACGGGCUUUAUUGUUUUCGUUAUAUAUGCGAUCGGUGGGGUUUCGGCCUUGCCGCGCAGCAUAGCCCCGCCUUGUUUGCUUGCAAAGAGGCGGAGGAAGAGCGUAAACGCUGAGACCCGAAAGAUGGUGAACUAUGCCUGAGCAGGAUGAAGCCAGAGGAAACUCUGGUGGAAGUCCGAAGCGGUUCUGACGUGCAAAUCGAUCGUCUGACUUGGGUAUAGGGGCGAAAGACUAAUCGAACCAUCUAGUACGGUUUCCCUCUCCAGAAAUUUUC
Molecule: ribosomal RNA, 766 nt
Filed under: Tripius sp. EM-2015
Lineage: Eukaryota; Metazoa; Nematoda; Chromadorea; Rhabditida; Sphaerulariidae
Description: LSU rRNA
Rfam family: Eukaryotic large subunit ribosomal RNA
Source: RNAcentral